RNAcentral lists this long non-coding RNA (431 nucleotides) under Manihot esculenta (cassava). Its description in RNAcentral is "long non-coding RNA (MESC_LNC004110)". Lineage: Eukaryota; Viridiplantae; Streptophyta; Magnoliopsida; Malpighiales; Euphorbiaceae. The record is from RNAcentral.
ACGAGGACUGAGGACUGAGGACUGAGAACUGAGGAAAACAGAGGACCGAGGGCAACCAAGUUGCUGACGGUGCGGAGAGCCGAUAGACUGGAGAGCGAUGGCCGACGAUUGCGUGGAGAGCGAUGGCCGACGAUUGCGUGGAGAGCGACGAUCGACGCCGACAAUUGCGUGGAGAGCGACGAUCGACGCCGACGAUUGUGUGGAGAGAGAGACUAGAGNNNNNNNNNNNAGCGAUGGCCGACGAUUGCGUGGAGAGCGACGAUCGACGCCGACGAUUGUGUGGAGAGAGAGACUAGAGAGCGACAGUGGACCGGUGGACAGUGGACGGUGUGAUAGUGGACCGGUCGAUGACAGUGGACUGGUGGAGCUCAAUGCUCAGAGAAGAGGCACAGGUGUGAUAGGGGUGAGAGGCGGCGUGGAAUGGAGAUAGC